Molecule: long non-coding RNA, 334 nt
Filed under: Rhinopithecus bieti (black snub-nosed monkey)
Lineage: Eukaryota; Metazoa; Chordata; Mammalia; Primates; Cercopithecidae
Description: lncRNA (ENSRBIG00000046314.1)
Source: RNAcentral
UCACCCAGGCUGGAGUGCAGUGACGUCAUCUCGGCUCAGUCAGCUUCCACAUCCUGGGCUCAAGUGAUCCUCCCGCCUCGGCCUCCCAAAGCUCUGGGAUCACAGGCGGAGCCACCGCAUCGGUCCAACCGUUGCGGUUCGUGCCAGGUGGUCGGCUGGCCAUCACCGUGCCCUUGUCACCUGUGUCUCCAAGCCCUACACACCAUGAGGGUCACUUCACCCAGGCGUCAGUGUCACCAUGGACAGCUUUCAGAAAGGGGAAACAGCCUGGACGUGGUGGCUUAUACCCAUAACCUCAGCACUUUGUGAGGCCAAGAUGGGAGGAUCACUAGAG